Molecule: transfer RNA, 72 nt
Organism: Camelus ferus (Wild Bactrian camel)
Lineage: Eukaryota; Metazoa; Chordata; Mammalia; Artiodactyla; Camelidae
Rfam family: tRNA
About the family: Transfer RNA (tRNA) molecules are approximately 80 nucleotides in length.
Source: Rfam
GGGGGUCUAGCCCAGUGGUAGAGUGUGUGCUUAGCAUGCAUGAGGUCCUAGGUUCAAUCCCCAGAACCUCCC